This 5808-nucleotide long non-coding RNA is filed under the name Homo sapiens (human). Lineage: Eukaryota; Metazoa; Chordata; Mammalia; Primates; Hominidae. The record is from RNAcentral.
AUAAAAAUUUUUUUAAAGAGUAUAGUCACCCUGCAGUCUUAAAUAAACUAAGGAUAAUUAUUUAGAAAACAAAUACUUACCUUUCUUGAAUUUAUGUACAGGAAGUUUCUUAAGUUGAUCUUUACGAAGUCUGUUUCUUCUAGCUCUAUGUCUAUCCUGGACAAAUUUUGUGAUCUAAAAAUAAAAGAGUAAAAAAAGGAGUCAGAUAUUAAAUGUGCAAAGAGAAAGUGACCAUUAAAAUAACAAAUAUCUUUUAAGUUUCUGGAUAGCUACUGCAAAUCAAUUCAAUUCAUUUAAAUUCUAAUUGCAAUAGUAUUGUUAAUUAAAGCAUUAAAUUACAUUAGUGAUUAGUUAACCCAUGAAUUACCCCUUGAAUUUUUUAUUAAUUGAUCUUGAUUAUCUUUGAAUUACCUACGGAGACAUUAUAAAAAUCAUAUAACUGUUUGCUUGCAAAAAUACAAAUGGUAAACUAUAGAUUUUAUAAAGACUCCAAUGGGUAAAAAAAAAAAAAAAAAAAGAAUGGGAAGGUUGAUAUUCCUAUAUAUUACAAACUGAUAAAAAUUUCAAACAUACACUUAUUAGUUACUACAGAAUAACAGGCAGAAAUAAUGCAGAACACCUUCACUACAAAUAUUCAGAAAUGCCGGAUAAAAUGUACAAAAUAUUUUAAACUAUAAAUUGCUAUGCUUGCAAGAAUAAAAAGAAAGUACACAGGGCCAAAAACCAAAUACCAAAAACACCCUCUGUAAAGGAAAAAUUUGACUAUGUCAAAGUUAAGAACUUCUCUGCUUAAAAGGCACUGUUAAAAAAAUAAAAGACAACUGAAGUGGGAGGACUGUUUGAGGCCAGGAAAUCAAGACCAGCCUGGGCAACAUAGUGAGACCCCAUCUCUAAAAAGAAAAAAAUUAGCCUGGCGCAUUGCCGUGUGCCUGUAGUUCCAGCUACUUGGGCGGCUGAAGUGUGAGAAUCAUUUGAGCCCAGGAUGUCAAGGCUGCAGUGACUCAUGUUUGUGCCACUGUACUCCAGCCUGCACAACAGAGUGAGGGCCUGUCUCCAAAACAUAAAUAAGUAAAUGAAUACAUAAAUAAAAUUUAAAAAUGAAAAAUACAGAUGAGCCACAGACUGAAAUAAAAUAUUUGCAAAUUGUAUACAAGAUAAGGGAUUUGUAUCCAGAAUAUAUAUAAAAACCUCUCAAAACUCAAUAAUAAGAAAACAAGUUACCCAACAGAAAAUGGACAAAAUAUUUGAAGAUACUUCACUAUACAAGACAAACAGCAAAUAAGCUCUUGAAGAGAUGUGCAAUGUCUACUAGUAGUCAAUAGGAAAACAAAAAUUCAAAUCAUAAAUACUAUAAUACAAUAUACCUAUUAGGGUGACUAAAAUGUAAAACACUGACUAUACCAAGCGUUGGCACGGAAGUGGAGGGACUGGCACUCUCAUACACUUUCUGGUGGGAUUGUAAAAUGGUACAACCACUUUGGAAAAGAGCUUGGCAAUUUCUUAUGAAUCUAAACACACAUUUAUCCUGUGACCCAACUGUCCUGCUCCUAGAUAUACUUACCCAAUAGAAAUGAAAGCAUAUUUCCAUACAACAAAUGUCCAUGUCAGCUUUAUUUGUAAUAGCCAAAAACUAGAAACAACCCAAAUGUUGAUCAAUAGGUAAAUGGGUAAACAAAUCAUGGUAUAUUCACACAAUGGAAUAUAUCUCAGCAAUAAAAAGGAAUGAACAAUCCAUGCACUCAAUAACAUAUACAAAUCUCAAAAUAAUUACGGUGACAGAAAGAAGACAGACACAAAAGAGUACAGACUUUAUGAUUCCAUUUAUAUAAAGCUGUAGAAAAUGCAAAGUAAUCUAUAGUGACUAAAAUCAGAUUUGUAGUUGUCUGGGCAUGGAGAAGGGUAGUGAGGGGAGGAUGAAGGAAAAGUUGGAAGGGGUAGAAGGAAGGCAUUGCCAAACUUUUUAGGGUGGUUAAUAUUUCAUUAUCUUGAUUGUGGUGGUGGUGGUUUCGCAGGUAUACACAUACAUAUCUGUUACAUAUGGAUGAUAUAUGUGAUAUACAUAUGCAUAAGUGAUAUAUAUGCUUAUAAACCUACAUCAAAACUUACCAAAGUGUACAAUUUAAAUAUGUGUAAUUUAUUAUAUCAAAUCAUACCUCCAUAAAUUUUUUUAAAGUUUAAUGGUAACCACUAAAAGAACAGCAAUAUAAUGCAAAUGUUCAUAUCAAUAGGAAAAAGAAAGUAAAAGUUAUUAUUGCAAAUUUACACAGAAGAAAAUACAGAAUAAAAAGUAAACAAUAGAAAUUAAUCCAAAUACAUGUGUGAUCACAAUAUAUGUUAAAUGGAUUAAAUCCACCGUUUUCAAAAGGAGUGUAUCACAUUGUAUAAGAAAAAAAUUCCGAUCAUAUGCUAUUUACAAGACACAAGAUUAAAACUGAAUGAUACAUUAGGACAAAAAUAAAAGUAAAAAAUAAAGGGAUAGGACCAGGUGCAGUGGCUCACACCUGUAAUUCCAGUGCUUUGGGAGGCCAAGGCUGAAGGACUGCUUGAGCCCAGGAGUUUGAGACUAGCCUAAGCAACACAGAGAGGCCCCAUCUCUACAAAAAAAAAAAAAAAACAAUUAGCUGGGCAUGGUGAUGUGCGCCUCUAGUCCCAGCUACUUGGGAGGCUGAGGUGGGAGGAUCACUUGAGGUUAUAGUGAGCUAUGAUUGUGCCACUGUACUCCAGCCUGGGUGAUAGAGCAAGACCCUGCAUAAAAUAACCAAAUUAACAUACAAAAUAAAAUAAAGGGAUAAAGAUCUACCAUGAAAAUAUUAAGCAAAAGAAAAGCUAGAAUAUCAAGCAAUAGAAUUUAAGGCAAAAAGCAUCAUUAGGAGAGUCAUGACAACAAUAAAAACAACACCUCAUCUAGAAACAAAAUAGUGAAAUACAUACAUUCACAAGCUCGGCAACUUAUAGCUUAAGCACACAAAAAAUUUAGAAGACUAUAGACCUGUGCUGUCCAAUAUGGUAGCCACCAAGUACAUGUGACUACUGAGCACUUGAAACAUAGAUAGUCUGAACUGGGAUGUGCUGUAAGUAUAAAAUAGACACCAGAUUACAAAGACACUAUACAAAAAGAAUAUAAAAAUAUCAUAUAUUUGUAUUAACUGAAUGUUGUUAUAUAUUUUAGAUUUAUUGAGUUAAAUAAAUAUAGUAUUAAAAUUAAUCUCAUCUGUUUCCUUUUUUUAACCUUUUAAAUUUGGCUACCAGAAAAUUUAAAAUUACAAUAAAAUGUGGCUCAUAAUAUUGUUCUAUUCUUAGCACUGCUUCAGAAAAUAGAAAAAGAACGCAGAAAAUUAUUAACGAUUGUGGUGAUGGUUGCAUAAUUCUGUGAAGAUACUUAAAAUUAUUGAAUUGUGUACUUUAAAUGAGUUAAUUUUAAGUUACAUUAAUUAUGUCUCAAUAAAGCUGUUAAAAGACUAGACAAAACAAAUUCACAAGUUCGAACUAAUGGACAUAGAACUGCACUUCACAUCUUUUCACACACAUGGAAUGUUUACAAAAUUUAAUCAGAAAACCAUGCCACAAAGGAGGUUUUUGAAAAUAACCAAAGAAUCCAUAACAUACAAUGUUUUCUUACCUCAACACAACUGAAUUAGAAAUCAAUAGAAAAAAAUACAUAUUUUGGAAAUGUAAAACUGUACUGAAGUAAUUCAUAAGUCACAGAACAAAUCAUAAUGAAUAUCUACGUUUCUGAGGGGGUGUUAUAAUCAGCAUGCGCCCCUUUGCCACCUGGAUUCUAAAUAACUUGAGAAAUAAGACCAUGAACUGGCCAGAAGGAGGAAGUGUUUCUCACUGGAGACAGAAACAGAACUUUCUGUACUCGUUUCAGCAACACAUAUACUAAAAUUGGAAUGAUACAGAGAAGAUUAGCAUGACCCCCGUGCAGUGCAAGAAACAGAAUUUUUUAUUGAGCAAUAGAAUUAGGUUGCCUUAGCCACUUAGAUAUAGACAAAGACAACUUUGGAAUGAAGUAGGCCUUCCCUUCACUCUGCCGCAGAAUUGCAGAACCAGCCCUAACCCUGGAGGAGCUGAAUGAACAUCUAUGUCCCAAAGUCAGGUUAAUAACAAAACAAAGAUGGUGGAGCUGAACCAAGUGUGCCCAAUUUGCCCUUCCUAAAGUGUCAGAUAAGACACUUUAUCUCCUCUAAGGUGGAAAGAGUAAAUGGGCAGAGAACAGCUAAGAGUCAUAGUAACUAGAGUUCCCCCUUCAUAUGGAUUGAAACAUUAAGAGUGAUAAAGAAACAUCCUAUAUUAAAAUGAAAAACUUUUAAAUUUAAGUCAAAUGAAAGUAAGAAUUUUCCUUAUCAAAAGUUGUGGGUUUCAGCUAAAGUUAUUGUUGUAGAAAAAUUUAUAACCUAAAUGCAUAUACUAGAAAGAAAAAAAUAAGCAUUUAGCUGAAUAAACUAGAAAAAGAAAAGCCAUACAACCCGCUGUUCUUGAGUUUCAAGGGAAGGCUUCUAGCAUUUCACCAUUUAAUAAUGUUUAUUUUAAGUUUUUAGUCUAUAUUUUUUAUCUGUAUAAGGUUAUUUACUUGUACUCCUGGUUUUCCAAGGGUAUUUUUGUUUGUUUGUUUUUUGGUUUUCUAACUUACUCUCUACUUUCUUGCUUCUAUGCUGAAACCCCAAGGGAAUCAACAACCAGACAUACAACCAGACAAGGUAGAAGAAAGAAAAUGAUAAGAACAAAAAUUCAUGAUAAAAAUAAAGAAAGUAAAGAAUUUAGCAUUAAGUUCUACUAAAAUGUAAGCUACUUAACAUCAGGGAUUUUUACCGAUUUUGUUUACUGAUGAAUCUGCAGACCCUUGAACGGUGCCUAGUUCACCAUAGGUACAGAAUAAAUAUUUAUUGAAUGAAAGCCUACUUCUUUGAAAGACUAAUAAGGCAAUAAUUUCUGACAACAUUGUGAAAGGCACAGAUGGAUAUGAAUAAAGAUAACUUAUUCCACAAAUAGUAGAAAUUCUCUUUAAAUUGUUAUUUGAGUAUAUGAAUAUUAUAAAUCACUUUAUUCCACUACACUUGAAAACAGGAAAUUUCUUAGAAAUACACUUUAGUAGGAACUGGAAAACCAUCUGAAUGUCUAUAUAACUAUGAGAAGGUCACUAGACCUAGAUGAUUUUAUAGGCAUCCUCUACAAAAAUGUCAAGUAACAGAUAACCCCAAUUUUCUUUAAAAAAAAAAAACUAUUUUAGAAAGUAAGAGAAAGCUUAGUUUUAUGAGGCUAUAAUUUUGAUUGCCUAGUUAAUUUUAAAAUUACAGUAAAAUAUACACAACAUAAACCUUACUAUCUCAACCACGUUUAAGUGUACAGUUCGAUGGCUUAAGUACAUUCAUACUGUUGUGCUACCAUCACUACCAUCCAUUCACAGCCUUCAUCUUAUUAAGCUGAAACUCUGUAUCCAUUAAACAAUAACUCCCCCUUCCUCAGUCCCCUCAGUCCCUGGCAACCACCAUUCUAGUUUCUGUCUCUAUGAAUUUGGCUACUCCAGGUACCUCGUGUAAGUAGAAUCAGUAUUUGUCCUUUUGUGACUGGCUUAUUUCACGUAGCAUAAAGUCAAGUUUCAUCUAUGUGGUAGCAUGUGUCAGAAUUUCCUUCCUUAAUAACACUGAAUAAUAUUCCAUUGUAUGCAUAUUCCACAUCUUGUUUAUCCCUUCAUCCAUCAAUGUACACUUGGGUUGCUUUCAUCAUUGGCUAUUGUAAAUAAUAUUGCUAUAAACAUGGUGUACAAAUAUCUAUUCGAGUCUUUGCUUUGAAUUCUUUUUGGUAUAU